RNAcentral lists this transfer RNA (67 nucleotides) under Marmota monax (woodchuck). Its description in RNAcentral is "tRNA.Ala". It matches the Rfam family "tRNA", at positions 6 to 65 of the family's 71-position model. From Rfam's summary of the family: Transfer RNA (tRNA) molecules are approximately 80 nucleotides in length. The record is from RNAcentral. Lineage: Eukaryota; Metazoa; Chordata; Mammalia; Rodentia; Sciuridae.
GUUGUGGCUCAGUGGUAGAGCACUUGUCCAGCAAGUGUGAGGCCCUGGGUUCGAUUCUCAGCACACA